This 490-nucleotide ribosomal RNA is filed under the name uncultured bacterium. RNAcentral describes it as "partial 16S ribosomal RNA". It matches the Rfam family "Bacterial small subunit ribosomal RNA", at positions 30 to 507 of the family's 1533-position model. The record is from RNAcentral.
AUUGAACGCUGGCGGCAUGCCUUACACAUGCAAGUCGAACGGCAGCAUGAUCUAGCUUGCUAGAUUGAUGGCGAGUGGCGAACGGGUGAGUAAUACAUCGGAACGUGCCCUGUAGUGGGGGAUAACUAGUCGAAAGAUUAGCUAAUACCGCAUACGACCUGAGGGUGAAAGUGGGGGACCGCAAGGCCUCAUGCUAUAGGAGCGGCCGAUGUCUGAUUAGCUAGUUGGUGAGGUAAAGGCUCACCAAGGCGACGAUCAGUAGCUGGUCUGAGAGGACGAUCAGCCAAACGAGGACUGAGAAACGGCCCAGACUCCUACGGGAGGCAGCAGUGGGGAAUUUUGGACAAUGGGCGAAAGCCUGAUCCAGCAAUGCCGCGUGUGUGAAGAAGGCCUUCGGGUUGUAAAGCACUUUUGUCCGGAAAGAAAUGGCUCUGGUUAAUACCUGGGGUCGAUGACGGUACCGGAAGAAUAAGGACCGGCUAACUACGUG